AUUGGCGGAUUCUGAUUCCACUGUCUUUGCUUGAAGUCAGGUUUGAAGUCAGGUUCAGGACGAGAUGAAGAACCAGUGAGUUUAAGCUGCUGAGCCUCAAACUUCUUAAAA
RNAcentral lists this small RNA (111 nucleotides) under Arabidopsis thaliana (thale cress). RNAcentral describes it as "ATSL306970". The record is from RNAcentral. Lineage: Eukaryota; Viridiplantae; Streptophyta; Magnoliopsida; Brassicales; Brassicaceae.